CAGUCGCCACGGUAAUACGAAGGGUGCAAGCGUUACUCGGAAUUACUGGGCGUAAAGCGUGUGUAGGUGGUUGUUUAAGUCUGUCGUGAAAGCCCUGGGCUCAACCUGGGAAUUGCGAUGGAUACUGGGCGACUAGAGUGCGGUAGAGGAUAGUGGAAUUUCCGGUGUAGCAGUGAAAUGCGUAGAGAUCGGAAGGAACAUCUGCGGCGAAUGCGACUAUCUGGGCCAACACUGACACUGAGACACGAAAGCGUGGGGAGCAAACAGGAUUAGAGACCCCGGUAGUCCCUGUCUCUUAUAC
Molecule: ribosomal RNA, 301 nt
Filed under: uncultured bacterium
Lineage: Bacteria
Description: partial 16S ribosomal RNA
Rfam family: Bacterial small subunit ribosomal RNA
Source: RNAcentral